CCUAACCAACCAGUUGGCAAGACCCAGCCCUGCUGACUGGGGAAACUUGGCAAGCCAGCGCUGCCAGGAUAGAAAAGCCACCUAUUACAGUACCUCUACUAGAAAAAAUAGCUCAAAGCGCCUGGCCUACUGAUGUCAGCAUCACCUUUACAUGCCAGGAACAAAUUACCGCAGUGGAGAGAGGGCCUAGAACCCCCUGCUGGACGCAAAUCAAUCAGAGAAGAAGACUAAUGGUAGCUCUGCGCAUUCCUCCGAGGCAGGGGCCGUGUCUGCUCUCCUCUGGGUGGGAGUGCAAGCUUUCUGCUCACAGUGGACAUGCUGCUGAUAAGACUGCCUGGUCAGCUGACUCCACAACUGGACAAGCAAGCCCCGGCCUCUUCCGGGGGGCGAGGAAGGUGGGCGUGGGGAGGUCAGCAGAAGCGGGUGCAGAGAAGCCACGCCGCUAUCGAGACUCGCUUUAGAGCUGAGAGGCAGAGAGGAAGGGGAGCGUGUGUGUGUGCGAUGUGUCCAGGGGCCGGAGGUGUGCAGUGGCAGGGAAUAAAGGAAAGGCGCCAACUCUCCAGCCCGGGACCAGAGCUGGGGCGGGGGGAGGGGGUGGAGAAUAUAAGAAACACUCCCGCGGACGAGUUUCUGAGCAGGGAAGUGGACCGGGAACAGCGCAUUUCCUGCUUCGCCUGUGCAAACCCCAGGCGGGGCCAAACGGGAACAGGGUUACGGUCGAGGAGUCGGCCGCUGCCAGGGCGGGGUUCGGGGCGGCCUCGACGGGGUCCGCCGACCAGGGCGGAAUGCGGGAGGGGGCGGUGGGAGCGGAACGCACGCCUCCCAUCCUCGAGUCGAGCGAGCGGCCCCAAAGCCCCUUUCGGCGCCGCACUUUUUCGGCCCCGCGGCAGAGGCGGGCUCACCAAGGGGCAGGGGCGCGCGCAAGGUGCGGAGUCCUUGGGGGUCCGACAUUUGGGGGCCUCUCGGGUCGGGGUCGGGGGCUGCGCGACGCCAGAGCGGGUGGCCGCUCUCUCCCGGGUCCCUCCUUCCUCCCCACGUCUCCCAUCCCACCUUCGACCUGGCAUCCUGGGCCCGCGGGGACUGGCCCGGGACGGGGAGAAGGAGCGCGGCCCUACCUGGGAGGUGCGGAGCCCCGAGCGCACUGCGUGCCGCGCGCCGCCUUCCGCUCGAUUCCCGGAGGCCCCGCGGGUGCGCGGCUUAUAAACGCUAAGGCCUUAUUGUUGUUCUUUGUUCCGGGGAUACCAUUG
RNAcentral lists this long non-coding RNA (1247 nucleotides) under Sus scrofa (pig). RNAcentral's name for it is "lncRNA (ENSSSCG00070005677.1)". Lineage: Eukaryota; Metazoa; Chordata; Mammalia; Artiodactyla; Suidae. The record is from RNAcentral.